RNAcentral lists this ribosomal RNA (253 nucleotides) under uncultured bacterium. RNAcentral describes it as "partial 16S ribosomal RNA". It matches the Rfam family "Bacterial small subunit ribosomal RNA", at positions 524 to 776 of the family's 1533-position model. The record is from RNAcentral.
UACGUAGGGGGCAAGCGUUGUCCGGAAUCAUUGGGCGUAAAGCGCGUGUAGGCGGCCCGGUAAGUCCGCUGUGAAAGUCCAGGGCUCAACCCUGGGAUGCCGGUGGAUACUGUCGGGCUCGAGUCCGGAAGAGGCGAGUGGAAUUCCUGGUGUAGCGGUGAAAUGCGCAGAUAUCAGGAGGAACACCAAUGGCGAAGGCAGCUCGCUGGGACGUGACUGACGCUGAGACGCGAAAGCAUGGGGAGCGAACGGG